Molecule: long non-coding RNA, 214 nt
Filed under: Elaeis guineensis (African oil palm)
Lineage: Eukaryota; Viridiplantae; Streptophyta; Magnoliopsida; Arecales; Arecaceae
Description: long non-coding RNA (EGUI_LNC000349)
Source: RNAcentral
CUUAUUUUGGUUAACCCAUCCAUUUGAAAGUAUUUCAUCUGGAUUUACCCAUCUCCAUGCCAUACCCCAUGCAAAGAAUAAAUGCCAUGCCCCAUUUAUUUUAGGCAUUAAGAGGAGAAGUCCUCACUUACUCCUCUUAAAUUCCUUACCAUAUUCCAUGCAUUUUUUUUAUUUUCUCAUGUCAUGUGAUGGCUCUUGGAUUUGUGGGUGCCAA